UACGAAGGGGGCUAGCGUUGUUCGGAAUUACUGGGCGUAAAGCGAACGUAGGCGGUGUUCCAUGUCAGAGGUGAAAGCCUGGGGCUCAACUCCAGAAUUGCCUUUGAAACGGGAACGCUUGAGUCCGAGAGAGGGUGGCGGAAUUCCUAGUGUAGAGGUGAAAUUCGUAGAUAUUAGGAAGAACACCAGUGGCGAAGGCGGCCACCUGGCUCGGUACGUGACGCUCAGGUUCGAAAGCGUGGGGAGCAAACAGG
RNAcentral lists this ribosomal RNA (254 nucleotides) under uncultured bacterium. RNAcentral's name for it is "partial 16S ribosomal RNA". It matches the Rfam family "Bacterial small subunit ribosomal RNA", at positions 524 to 776 of the family's 1533-position model. The record is from RNAcentral.